This 809-nucleotide long non-coding RNA is filed under the name Rattus norvegicus (Norway rat). Its description in RNAcentral is "long non-coding RNA NONRATT006428". The record is from RNAcentral. Lineage: Eukaryota; Metazoa; Chordata; Mammalia; Rodentia; Muridae.
AACCUCCUCUCAUCACUGAAGUUCUCAUCUGUCCCCCAGCCUUUCUCUAGGAAUUCUUUCUUGUUCCCAUCUCUCAGGACCUAUGACUGGAGACAGAGACCGUGCUCCAGACUUUGCAAUCAGAGAUGUUUUCACCCAAAGGUAAUGGACAUGCAGGACUUAGAAAGUCAAAGCUGGUCUCGGCUGGGGAGGUAAUCACACAGUCAAACUGGUUCAGCCAGACAGCCUGCCAAUUCUGGGUUUCUGCUCCGGGCUUCUAAAGGUGACCAAGCAAGUCCUCGGAUAAGAAUGCAAGUGAGCAAAAUAACAAAUUCUUCUGAUACGACCUUUUCUUUCUCUGAAACACGAUCUCACUGCCUAGCUCUUGCUAGCGUGAAACUCACUCUGUAGACCAGGCUAGCCUCUAACUCACGGAGAUCCGCCUGCUUCUUCCUCCCAAGCGAUGGGCUUUUGUUAGGAUAUAAUACCUUAGUCCUCAAAGUCUCCAGGAAGACAGACAGCAGAGGCCUGGACCUAGCUGUCCCUGGAGAAGCUGCAGGACAGGUGCAGCUAUAAUGGCCUGUGCAAGAAGGAAGCUUCCUGGAGCACACAUGCGGCCAGAAGCAUCAGAAGGGCCCACUGUGGUCCGGGCCAGCUCCUGUUACAAGUCAGAUGUUGGAGGGAUUUGAGAGAGUCACUUCAUUCCUUCUGACUCUCGUUGGUUCUAUCACACAAGCGGCUUCCAAACCUACCUUUAAGGUUCAGGCACAAAAGCUUCAGGAAGUCAAGCGUCUGUUUUCAAGAUGGGUAUAAAGGACCGUACUAGCUUG